CUUUCUUCGGAAUGUUCUUAGUGGCGAACGGGUGAGUAACGCGUAGGCAACCUGCCCUCUGGUUGGGGACAACAUUCCGAAAGGGAUGCUAAUACCGAAUGAGAUCCUCUUUCCGCAUGGAGAGAGGAUGAAAGAUGGCCUCUACUUGUAAGCUAUCGCCAGAAGAUGGGCCUGCGUCUGAUUAGCUUGUAGGUGAGGUAACGGCUCACCUAGGCGAUGAUCAGUAGCCGGUCUGAGAGGAUGAACGGCCACAUUGGGACUGAGACACGGCCCAAACUCCUACGGGAGGCAGCAGUGGGGAAUCUUCCGCAAUGGACGAAAGUCUGACGGAGCAACGCCGCGUGAGUGAUGAAGGCCUUCGGGUUGUAAAACUCUGUUGUCAGGGACGAAAGCACCGAUCUAUAAUACAUUUUGGUGUUGACGGUACCUGACGAGGAAGCCACGGCUAACUACGUGCCAGCAGCCGCGGUAAUACGUAGGUGGCAAGCGUUGUCCGGAAUUAUUGGGCGUAAAGAGCAUGUAGGCGGGCUUUUAAGUCCGACGUGAAAAUGCGGGGCUUAACCCCGUAUGGCGUUGGAUACUGGAAGUCUUGAGUGCAGGAGAGGAAAGGGGAAUUCCCAGUGUAGCGGUGUAAUGCGUAGAUAUUGGGAGGAACACCAGUGGCGAAGGCGCCUUUCUGGACUGUGUCUGACGCUGAGAUGCGAAAGCCAGGGUAGCAAACGGGAUCAGAUACCCCGGUAGUCCUGGCCGUAAACGAUGGGUACUAGGUGUAGGAGGUAUCGACCCCUUCUGUGCCGGAGUUAACGCAAUAAGUACCCCGCCUGGGGACUACGAUCGCA
Molecule: ribosomal RNA, 839 nt
Filed under: uncultured bacterium
Lineage: Bacteria
Description: bacterial SSU rRNA
Rfam family: Bacterial small subunit ribosomal RNA
Source: RNAcentral